This 302-nucleotide ribosomal RNA is filed under the name Klebsiella pneumoniae. Its description in RNAcentral is "bacterial LSU rRNA". It matches the Rfam family "Bacterial large subunit ribosomal RNA", at positions 187 to 526 of the family's 2925-position model. Lineage: Bacteria; Pseudomonadati; Pseudomonadota; Gammaproteobacteria; Enterobacterales; Enterobacteriaceae. The record is from RNAcentral.
GGGGAACUGAAACAUCUAAGUACCCCGAGGAAAAGAAAUCAACCGAGAUUCCCCCAGUAGCGGCGAGCGAACGGGGAGCAGCCCAGAGUCUGAAUCAGCUUGUGUGUUAGUGGAACGGUCUGGAAAGUCCGACGGUACAGGGUGAUAGUCCCGUACACCAAAAUGCACAGGCUGUGAACUCGAAGAGUAGGGCGGGACACGUGGUAUCCUGUCUGAAUAUGGGGGGGACCAUCCUCCAAGGCUAAAUACUCCUGACUGACCGAUAGUGAACCAGUACCGUGAGGGAAAGGCGAAAAGAACCC